RNAcentral lists this ribosomal RNA (954 nucleotides) under uncultured bacterium. RNAcentral's name for it is "bacterial SSU rRNA". It matches the Rfam family "Bacterial small subunit ribosomal RNA", at positions 8 to 916 of the family's 1533-position model. The record is from RNAcentral.
AGAGUUUGAUCCUGGCUCAGAACGAACGCUGGCGGCGUGGCUAAGGCAUGCAAGUCGUACGGGACACGCAGGGUAGCAAUAUUCUGUGUGUUCAGUGGCGGACGGGUCAGUAAUGCAUGGGUAACGUGCCUUGGACUCAGGAAUAACGUCGAGCCCCGCAAGGGGUUCUUUGCGAAAGUGACGCUAAUACCUGAUGACAUCCUCGGGUGGCAUCACCUGGGAAUCAAAGGUGGGGACCGCAAGGCCUACCGGUCCGAGAUCGGCCCAUGUCCUAUCAGCUAGUUGGCGAGGUAACGGCUCACCAAGGCUAAGACGGGUAGCGGGGCUAAGAGGUCGACCCGCGACAUCGGGACUGAGACACUGCCCGGACACCUACGGGUGGCUGCAGCAACGAAUAUUCCGCAAUGGGCGAAAGCCUGACGGAGCGACGCCGCGUACGGGACGAAGUCCUUCGGGAUGUAAACCGUAAUAGUCUGUUAACAAGCAACCCGGGCUAAUACCUCGGGAAGUUGAGUCGCAGACGAAAGGGACGGCUAACUCCGUGCCAGCAGCCGCGGUAAGACGGAGGUCCCAAGCGUUGUUCGGAAUUACUGGGCUUAAAGCGCGUGUAGGCGGGUCGGCGCGUACCUUGUGAAAUCCCAUGGCUCAACCAUGGAACUGCUUGGUAUACGGCCGGUCUCGAGGUAGGUAGAGGCGCCUGGAACCUUAGGUGGAGCGGUGAAAUGCGUAGAUAUCUAAGGGAACGCCGGUGGCGAAAGCGGGGCGCUGGGCCUGUCCUGACGCUGAGACGCGAAAGCGUAGGGAGCAAACGGGAUUAGAUACCCCGGUAGUCUACGCCGUAAACGAUGCGCACUAGGUACGAGGCCCACUGACGGGAAUCGUGCCGAAACAAAAGCGAUAAGUGCGCCGCCUGGGGAGUACGGCCGCAAGGCUAAAACUCAAAGGAAUUGACGG